UACGUAUGUCCCGAGCGUUAUCCGGAUUUAUUGGGCGUAUAGCGAGCGCAGGCGGUUAGAUAAGUCGUAAGUGAAAGGCUGUGGCUUAACCAUAGUAUGCUUUGGAAACUGUUUAACUUGAGUGCAGAAGGGGAGAGUGGAAUUCCAUGUGUAGCGGUGAAAUGCGUAGAUAUAUGGAGGAACACCGGUGGCGAAAGCGGCUCUCUGGUCUGUAACUGACGCUGAGGCUCGAAAGCGUGGGGAGCAAACAGG
RNAcentral lists this ribosomal RNA (252 nucleotides) under uncultured bacterium. RNAcentral describes it as "partial 16S ribosomal RNA". It matches the Rfam family "Bacterial small subunit ribosomal RNA", at positions 524 to 776 of the family's 1533-position model. The record is from RNAcentral.